Podarcis lilfordi (Lilford's wall lizard) is the source of this 100-nucleotide non-coding RNA. The record is from the annotation of a GenBank genome assembly. Lineage: Eukaryota; Metazoa; Chordata; Lepidosauria; Squamata; Lacertidae.
GAAUAGCUCAGUUGGUUAGAGCAUGGCGCUGAUAACACCAAGCUUGCAGGUUCUGUCCCUUACAGGGAUCAUGGAUCAAAACCAUAAGGGGAGGGAAACA